AUGUCCCAGGAAUACGACACGAACGACGAUUAUAUCUCUUAUCCAGAUACGAAAAGGAAAUCUACAACUUCUGGAUUAUCUAUGGAACGGGAAAGGCAACAAGACAACGCUGAGGGUGAAAAUGAAGAGUCCAAAGCUUCUCAGAAAGCAGCCGAAUACGUGAGGGAACUAAUGGCAGAGAAAAUAUACAUGGAUAACGCGAAACUACCCAACGCCUGUCGCUUAGUAGAUCAAGAAAUUUCAAAGGUUCAACUAGUAGGGAGACCUAGUCCUAGAGAGUACAAAUACGUAGACAUUUACCGAGAAAAACCGAUAAAAGUUACUGUAAAAGUUUUAGUACCCGUAAGAGAACAUCCGAAAUUCAAUUUUGUGGGAAAACUGUUGGGUCCGAAAGGAAACUCGAUGAAACGUCUACAAGAAGACACAAUGUGCAAAAUGGCUGUUCUAGGGAGGGGAUCAAUGAAAGACAGAGCUAAGGAAGAGGAAUUACGGAAAUCAUUGGAUCCAAAAUACGCCCAUCUUGCUGACGAUUUGCAUGUCGAAAUAUCCGCUCUAGGUCCCCCUGCAGAAGCCCACGCUAGGGUGGCUUUUGCUCUGGCUGAAGUACGUAAAUACCUUAUUCCCGACAAUAACGACACAAUCAGACAAGAACAGAUGAGAGAAAUGGAAAUAAUGACCGGCGAUGAGCCACACAGGGAGAGGGAACGGGAACUCAUCCCAAAACGCACAAUACUCAAAUCUUUGCCAGCUUCGAGAGCACCUUUACCACCGAUGAGGACAGCUACAAGGACGCCGGUACUUACACCUUCGAACACCAGGCCUGUUAUGCCAGCCAAAACGAAGAUCAUGUCGAUUUUGGACAGGGCUCGGGUUGCAAUGGAGGAUAAUUAUGGUAUUGAUGACGAUUACUAUGAGCCAGAGUAUGUGAGGAUGUCUUCAAUGUCUUCGAGUUCGUCUAAGAGUGCUUAUUAUCCGUAUGAUUAUGAUAGCGACUAUUACAGGGGUAAGUACCUAUUAUUUUUAUCUAUCAGUGACUUAAAAGAAUACAAGGAAGCGUUUUUAGCAAAAUUUGUGAUUUAAAAUUAUCUUAGCACAGCAUUUUAUGUACUGAAUUUUUAAAUUGCGCGCCAAUUGUUGAGCUUCCUCCUGUCAUACCAACCAGUGUUGCCAGAAUUGGAGGAUUUUCUUCAAUAUGAAGGAUUUCACAGUCCAAUUUCUUCGAUUAAAAAGGAUUUUUUUCCAAAAAGAAGACAAUAUGAAGGUUUCUGGUAGUUUUUUACACAAUAAAAAUUGUUAAAAUAUGUAGUAGGAGUAUUUAUUGUUUUUCCUACAUCUAUUUUUUCGCUUUAACCAUGUUUAAUUAAGGAUUAAGGAAGCCUCAGUUUAAGCUGUGGUUUAAAGCAGUGUUGCUGUCAAAAAGUCCGCACUUCGAAAUUCCUGUUAUUUUUUUAAUAAAAAGUUUAUUUAAAUACAUCUACGUCCAAAAAUUACCAGAAAUAAGUUUUUAAAAAUUUUCUCCUAAUUAAAAUAGGUAAAAUACACGAAAUUUGGUGUUUUUUCACAAGGUCUGGAAUUUUUUGUGAAGCUGAAGGAAUAUGAAGGUUUUUAAGGCUCCUUUUUGACGAAAUUCGCUCGACAAUUUCUGUUAUAAUUUAUGUUUCUAUCCUGAGAAGGGUUAGUUGUUUUUACAGGUGUACCUUGCAGUUGUUGUUGACGUUAAAUUGGAGUUAUAACAAAUUUAAAAACUAAAUAACCCUUAAAUCAGAGUGAUAUUAUAGUGCCUUAAACCUUAAUAAUAAUGUAAAAAUAAUUGUGUGUACAGAACCAAAAUCUUCCUCGUCCGAGUGGAGUAAGAUUAAGGCUUCUUCGAGUUCUCGCCACCAUGCGGAGAGCAAAUAUAGGACUUCGCCCUAUUCUCGACCCCCAAAAUAAAUUAGUUACCAUUAGAGUGCAUGGUAUUUAGUGCUAAUAUUAAAAUAACACUAGGAAAAGUAAUCGUUAAUUUAAAAAAAAAUGUUAAAAUGUUUAAUCUAAAAGAUUAAAGUAUUAUAAACUAUAUAACCAGUAAUAGUAAUUCAUUAAAUUUAAUGUGAUGUGUAUUAAAAAUUCUCCUCCUGAUUAUAAUAUUUAAAGUAAAUGAUUGUACCAUUGGAUCGAAAAAAACGGCAUCAAAGAAGGCUGCGAAUUAGUAUCGAUGAUAAUUUUUGGCAAGUUUUAUGUCAAUUUUCAGUAAAUGACAUCUAGAGAUUAAACUCGCUCAAAUUAUCAUCGAUUUUCAUUCCUCAGCCGUCUUUGACGCCGUUUUUUUUUCGAUCAUUCGGUAUUUAAUCCUUAAGAUGGAGAAAAAUCAUAAAAAAAUUAUAUUAACUGCUUUAAAAACGUUUUGAAUGAACAAAUAGAUGUUAAAAAAAGUUCUAGUCGAUAUUUAGAAUUAUAAUAAGGUGUGUGCAAUAUUAUAUAAAAUAUAAUAAAUGAAUAAUUUAAAGAACCUAUAAUAUAACGUUUCCCUAAAAUUUAACUUACCAUUAUAUUAAUGUACAAGUUAAACAAUUAAUUUGAUGUUAUAGUAACCGUAUAAUGUGACGAAUAAAUAA
This is an RNA transcript of Sitophilus oryzae (rice weevil), 2594 nucleotides long. It is a transcript of the gene named KH domain-containing, RNA-binding, signal transduction-associated protein 2-like, with no coding region annotated. NCBI's taxonomy places the organism in Eukaryota, Metazoa, Arthropoda, Insecta, Coleoptera, Curculionidae. The transcript is spliced from 6 exons. The record is from RefSeq and is a predicted model, not a curated record.